GAGUGACUACAGCUCUUUUAGAAUUUUUCUAUUAGGAUUUCUGAUUUUGGUCAGAAGAAUCCAAG
Mastomys coucha (southern multimammate mouse) is the source of this 65-nucleotide small nuclear RNA. RefSeq annotates it as U7 small nuclear RNA. Lineage: Eukaryota; Metazoa; Chordata; Mammalia; Rodentia; Muridae. The record is from RefSeq and is a predicted model, not a curated record. The transcript has a single exon.